Molecule: long non-coding RNA, 831 nt
Filed under: Pongo abelii (Sumatran orangutan)
Lineage: Eukaryota; Metazoa; Chordata; Mammalia; Primates; Hominidae
Description: lncRNA (ENSPPYG00000034801.1)
Source: RNAcentral
UUUGUUUUAAAGAGUAGUAACAUGCAGCUUGCUUGGCUAUUAAAUUGGAAACGGAUUCCUCUCUGACUUGGCCACUGAUAUUGGGCGUGACCUUGGACAAAUAAUUUUGUUUCUUUGGGCUCAGUUUCUACAUAUGUAAAACGGGAAGGUUUCUCUUAAAAACUAAUCCUGAAGGGUUUCUUGUCAACAAAAAGAUGCAAGCUGUAGGAGGCAGAAAGCGUGGGUUCAAGUUCGAAAUUUGCCCCUGAAUUAGGACUCUUGACACAUUUCUAACCCAUCCAAGUAGAGAUCGUUCUUUUACAUUUAUGUGUUAUACAGGUGCAUUUUAAUGGUUACCAGGUUGCCACGUAUUUGAAGUGGUGUGAGAGCUACUCGUUUGGAACCGUUGUGGAUUUUCAAAUAGGAAAAUCAAAAGGCCCAAAGAGACAGCUCACUGGUGACCAUGCUUUGGGAUUUUCAUAGUUUGAGUAAUUCCUAUGGGCUCUACCACCCAGCGAGUUAAAGAAGACAAGAUUCCACCCCCAGGGGGUUGUGGUUCUGGGAAUGUGAGCAGCUUGUUUUCAUGAGAUCUGCACCUUGAUCUGGCCUGCUAUUAGGAUCUGUGGUGGUGGUGGCUGUCUGGUUUUAGUUGUUUCUUUUAUCUUACACAGAUUUUUGUAAGUUAUUUGCAUAUAAAGGUUUUUGAAAAGUGAAUGUUUUAUGGGGGCAUCUUGCUUAUACAAAGAAAAAUUAAAACUAUUUUAAAAUAAUCACUCAUGUGUUACACUUGUCUCUUCUAAAAUAAAUGAAAGUAUUAAUGUUGUUGUCUGGAAGGAAAAUGAAGACCAGGAA